RNAcentral lists this ribosomal RNA (405 nucleotides) under uncultured bacterium. Its description in RNAcentral is "partial 16S ribosomal RNA". It matches the Rfam family "Bacterial small subunit ribosomal RNA", at positions 28 to 526 of the family's 1533-position model. The record is from RNAcentral.
GAUGAACGCUGGCGGCGUGCCUAAUACAUGCAAGUCGAGCGAAGCGGGGACGGGUGAGAAACACGUGGAUAACCUCCUAUAAGACUGGGAUAACUUAGGGGAACCGGAGCUAAACCGGGUACGUAUGGUUGGAUCCGCGCUGCAUUAGCUAGUUGGUAAGGUAACGGCUUAGCAAGGCAACGAUGAAUAGCAGACUUGAGAGGGUGAGCGGCCAAAUGGGAACGGAGACACGGUCCAGACUCCUACGGGAGGCAGCAUUAGGGAAUCUUCCGAAAUGGGCGAAAGCCUGACGGGGCAACGCCGCGUGAGUGAUGAAGGUCUUCGGAUCGUAAAACUCUGUUAUUAGGGAAGCGGUACCUAAUCAGAAAGCCACGGCUAACUACGUGCCAGCAGCCGCGGUAAUUC